Long non-coding RNA from Protopterus annectens (West African lungfish), 5322 nucleotides. RefSeq lists it as uncharacterized. The transcript is spliced from 2 exons. The record is from RefSeq and is a predicted model, not a curated record. Lineage: Eukaryota; Metazoa; Chordata; Ceratodontiformes; Protopteridae.
AGCGUCUUGGUUCUGUUUGGUAUGGCUAGUUCGUACAAUGCAUUUGAAUAUGAUUCGGCAGUCGUGGAUCUGUUUUCCAUUUUUUGUUGUGGGACAUAAGCUGAGAUAAUGAAUAUUACCCUGUCUUUACACCAGAGUCUGAUUGCCAUGUGUCUGUCCUCACCUGCGUAAUAGACUUUGUAUCCCAAUCCUCAAAUCUGGAGAAUUAAAUCCAGGAGAAAGCAUAUACUGCAUAUACUCAUGUAAGGAAUUUAUGAGAAAAAGUUGACUUUAGAAAAGGGAUCAAUUUACACACGUGUAAUAUGGCGUGCAGUACUAUUGAAGUGUGACAGCUAUCAGAGCAUACAGCACUAAGUGAAGAACAUUUAAUACUUUGUUUUAGUAGCUGUCAGACAUUGACUCCUGUUAAUUGUAAGUUACAAGUGGAGCAGGGAUUGCUUCUGGUACUGUGUUUGAUACUGUUCUGUGAAUUUUUUAACUGCAUGCAAUUAGAAGAGUUAAUAAGGCAUGCCAGUCUUUAAAAAUUUAAAAUAUUCACUUAAUAACCCGUAGUUGCGUAUGGUGGCCAGUAAAAUUCAACAGAUUUUUUCACUGAGACUUGCCCCUCAACUUAUUCAUGAGAGUAUUAAUUACAUGAGUAUAUAUGGUAGAUCUACUAACUGAAUUAGUUCAAAGAAAAACAUGCAAAUCAGGUGAAUGAAGUAAGCUGUUUAUACAAAUUAAUUAUCUGUACACUACCAGGUUAUCUAUACCUGCCAGGAGCAGUAAUCUGAUAAACUGUCAGGACAUGCACGUAGGAAGAGAUGCCAGAAACUGAAUCAUUAUUGAGUGAGUUAUCUGAAAUCUAUCCUAAUGGAGGAAUAGGUCCUUUCUUACCACAGUAUUAAAAAUCCUAAACAUCUAGUGGAAUCAAACCAAGAGCUCAAUAACAAUGAACAGAUGUAUGAAUGUUUGUGAAAAGGUGCCAUUGCCUAUCCGUAUAGGGAGAAAACACCAGGAGUGGCGAAACAGGAAAACUGGAUUGUCACAGCUGUAUAACAAGGGGAAACCUUCAACAUGCUGAGCUACCAAAUUAAUAAUGACCUAAGUUCUGCAGAAGAGCAAAUAUUUAAAAAUAAGUCUCAAGUAUCAUGCCAUCAUUUAAUCACUGACUGUGAAGCUGUUGGAAGUAUGCAAAAAUUAAGACAGAGUAAUGAAUGUUCUCUGAAAACUAAAUGCAUUAAGUGAAAAAAAUACAUUAAAUUAGAUUGAUUUGCAUUAGUUAAAUCAUAAACUAGAGGUUGCUGCAUACAUAUCAUACAUAUCAGUGUAUGUUGUUGAAGCAGCAUCCAACUGAAAUAAUAAUGAAAGAACACAAAGCUAAUUACUUGAUGAGUGAAAGACUGUAGAGUGCAGUGGAAGACGAUGGCUGGAGAUUUAACACCUUCAAAGAUGAGUGAGAGAAAGACAAUUAACAAAAUGUAAAUAAACAUAUUCAGGAGAAACUUUUCUUGAGACUCAUUUAAGCACAACUGGGAACCAGAUUAUUAAUAUGGAAAAAUAGUACAAAACAGAGUAAUUAGUUAUAUUAACUGAAACGAACUAACUGCUAAUGAGAUGGAAACCAAACUUGAGGUAUCCAGCUUUAUAAUUCCAAGUUAAGAUGCUGUGCUGUGCUGACAUUUAAAGCAUUAUUAUCUACACUGUCAUCUUGACAUAUGUAGUAAUUUGUUUCUGUCUUGAGAGGUCACUCUUCUGGCUCACAAUAAAGUAUAUUUUUCUUCUAAAAACUUGAAUGUGUAACCUUUCCCAAAAAUUGUAGACCAGUAAACUACCUUCUUAAAACAUAAAUGUUUUACUCUAAAACUCAGGCAGAGUCCAUGGUUGGAGCAGACUGACUGUCUUGGUAGUAGGACCUCCUACUUUUGGCUGUGUACAAGUAAUACAGGAUACAUCCGAAACUGGAGACAGAAGAUCUUCACUGCAGUAACCACGAGAAAACAGCAGCCUGAAGUCUGAGUUACAGAAAGGCUCAGACUAUCGUUUGAAGCACAGAAUACAGCAGGCGAUAUUCCACGGUGAUUCUUCAUUGCCGUUAUUCUUUUCUUGCUUCCAGUCGUUUAGAUAACAUAUUUACUAGUGUUGGCUAGUCAUAUUGUUUGAACUGUAACACAGCAGAAUUAACAGCACACCUUCCCUUUGCUGGUGAGCUAAAGCUUUAUGGAUACUUGCCUUUGACAGGUGCAGUGACGUAUAAUUUGAUAUCCUUCUAUGGUAUUCACAACAUGAGGGGAUUCCCUGCCAAGGGGCGACUCUAUGUCCAGCCAAAGCCUUUUACUACUUAAGCGUGUGUGAGACGUUGCACAUAUGUUCUUCACGUACGUUGGCCAUAAAAACGACAUCCGCACAUACUAUCCUCAUAACUUCUCUGCCUCCAGUCCGAACACCAUCCUCAACUGUCGGUCUCCUCACCCAAGUCGUUUGUUACUGUAUCAAGCCAUUUUAGAUAAGUACCCCAUUGUUUUUUUUCCUUUAUCUUCUUUUUUCCUACUAUGUUUGUGAGGUUUUUUCAUGUCAUCCAAGAAAGGCAAAUGCUGUUGUGGGAGACAAAUUCCAUAUAAGAAUAGUCACUAACAGUGCUUGCUCUGUUUAGGGCCUACUCAUGAUUACCUUCCCAAAGAAAGGAGCACAUCAGCAUCAAAGAUAUGAGAGAACUUCUGCUGACCCUUCAGGCUUUUCAUCCUCUUUUCUUUCAAGGUCCUCUCAAACUGUUUAGUGACAACACCACAGUUCUCUGGUAUGUAAACAAAUAGGGGAUGAAAUCUUACCUACUUUGCAGGCUAGCUCUCAUGGCAUGGGAACUUGCAGUUCAGUAUCAGAUGAUUCUUCAGGCAGUGUACAUCUCCAACAGUCAAAAUCAAGUGGCAGACAAUCUGUGCAGGUCCAUGACUCAGUCCCAGGUGCUCCUCAAGAAGAUCUGUUUGCCUCCCAUCUGAACAGACAACUUCCACUGUUUUGUGCCAGAGUUCCAGGUCCUGUCGUUUGGAAGGUGGACAGCCCAUCUUUUUUUUUGGAUGGGGAUGUUUCUUUACUCCUAUCUUCCUUCCUCUCAUUCCAAAGGUCCUGUUCAAGUUUCAACAGGACCAACCAAAAAUCUUGCUGGUGACUCCCUUUUGGCCAAGACAGCAUUGGUUCCCUCUUCUUCUGGAUUUAGCCAAGGGCAAUCAUCACAAGUUACUGCACAGGAUGGACCUUCCCACAAAGACAAAGGAUUUCUUAUCCAUCCCCACCUGUCGACUUUGCAACUGACUCUGUGGGUGAUAGGAUUUUGAUUUGUUUCAGAUGCCUUUUAUCUGAGGACAAGGCUUAGGGUUCUGCAGUAGACCAGAAAACCCAGUACUAGGAAAACCUACCUCUAAAUGGAAGAGUUUUUCUGCCUGGUGUCUCACAUAACUUGAAUCCAUUGAUUGUGGAUGUUCCAUUGGUUCUCUGUUGUUUGUGAGAGUUGCUCAAUGCUGGGUUGGCCUAUUAUAGGUUCAUAGGUUCGUACUAGGCUAUCGGCCCUAGGGCCUAUGCAAGCCUAGCCAUAACAAUUACCUGGCUAUUUCUUCCCACAAUAUUUACUUCCCUGGAACCCUGUCUAGCAGGGUGACUGACGUGAUCCCCGGGGUAAAUUUCCUAUCUCCCAAGGCCCACUUGUCAGCUAUUUCUGCUUGUCUGUCUUUAUCUCCUCCUCAAAGGCAUCCUACAUAUUAGACCUCCAAGGAAGCCUGUUCCUCCUCUUUGAGAUCAUAAUCUUGUUUUGGAAAAAAUGACUUUGGCUCCUUUUGACCUUGUGGCUACAGCUUCUUUGCAGCAUUGGUGUUGGAAGACUGUUUUGUUGUUAGCUUUGACUUCAGUUAGAUGGGUGUCUGAGCUGCAAGCUCUUAUGGCUUCUCCCCCUUUUUUGGUUUUCCAUAAGGACAGGGUGUACUUGCGUACUAACCCUUCUUUUAUGUCCAAGGUUGUGAAUGAGUCAUCACUUAAUCAAACCAUUAAUUUGCCCACCUUCUUCCCUUCUCCACAGUCAUCUAGUGAGAAGGUAUUGCAUACCUUGGAUUUGCAUAAACAAGUCAGAUUUUAUUUGGCUAAAAUGGAGGCUAUCAGGAAAUUUGAUCAGCUUUUUAUUUCUUUUCAUCCCAGGUCCUUGGGAUUGCCUGUUUCUAAGCAGACUAUUUCCCUUUGGAUUUUUAAGGCUAUUUCCUUUUGUUAUGUUUCUCAUGGUAAGAGCCUCCCCUUUUCUGUUAAAGCAAAUUCAACUAGGGCUGUGACUUCUUGUGCUUUUUCCAAGGGUUAAGACACUAACUCCAUUCUUGAAGCAGCUACCUGGAAUUCUGUGCAUACUUUCACCAAAUACUGAUUUUACUAGGUCCAUUCUCCAUGACUUUUUUAGACAGCUCUACUGCCCAUUCCACCUUUCCUUAUGAGCUAUGGCACUCUCCAUCAUAUUAUGAGUACUGUAACAUUAGAAUAAAAGGACAUAGUAUAGUUGUGUAAAAUCUUACCAAUUGAUAGAGGUCCUCCUAACCCCCUGAUUUUUACUUUUUUUUUUGGAUGUAUGAUUGAUUUCUAUUUCCUUGUAUUGGCGUUCCUUCUGAGUCAUUCAGUUUUGAGGAUAGUAUAUGCAGACAUCGCUUUUAUGGCCGAUGUAUGCAGACAGCAUACGUGCAACUUCUCAUGUACUCCUAAGUAGUAAAAGGCUUUAGUGUACGGGCCAGACGUCUGGUUGCCCUUGACAGGGAAUCCCUCAUGUUAUGAAUUCUACAACAGUGAAGAGAAGGAGAUCUAUCGUUGUGGUAAGAAAAUGUUGACAAAUGAAAAUAUUGACAAAAGUGAAGUUAUUAAAAUAACCCUGGAGUGUGAAAUUCUUUAUGAACACUUGCGGACAGAUGGAAGCUACAGUGAGUGACCACCAGCCAUCACUUUUUACUGUGAUGUUUCGAAAUUGUAUAUUUGUUUCUUUUAUCCAUCUUCUGUGCUGUUUACUCUUGUUUUUCAAGAAAUUAUAAAGCAUUCAGCGUAUGUAGAGAAAGCCUUAACAGUUUAAGCAGAUGAUGUAAGAACUUCAUGUCCACAUUUUUUUUGACAUCAGCAUUUUAAACUGUACUUUACUGAAUAAGUUUUAACUGUCGUGAUAAUAAAUGGACUCAGCAGCUGUUGUAAACUAGCAAGCUACUAAAUAGUUACACAUGACUAUAGAAUGAUGAGGAAUGCCUUAAUUAAACUACACCCUGUAACGGGUUUAUUCUGGUUAAUGGUUAACUUGCAAAUUAUUUUAAUAAAGUUUGGUCGGGUCCUUCACUA